GAAUGUUUCCAUGCAUCCAAAGCAAUCAAAGAUGCCCUAUUGUUUUCCCCUUCUUGUAUGGCGGGAGGAUCUUCAUUCAAGAAUUUCGCCAAGUUGAGGGUUGUGAGAUAAAACAACAUUUUCUGUUGCCACCUUUUGAAAUCAACCCCAACAAAUUUCUCCGGCUUUUCCCCAUGUGAAACGGAGUUUGAAUGUACGAUAGUAGGGGCACCCACAACCGGAGUAGUAGUUGUAUUCACAACGGGAGGAAUCACACCGGUAGGAACACUUCCUUCAGAAGUUCCCAUGUUCGAAGUUUCAUUCGAAGUAGUAUCGGUAUUAAGAACCGUAUUCAUUUCUGUUUACGUAAAACAGAAGAUCAACCAAAAAUAGAAGUGAAGAAGAAGUUAAACUUAACAAGUUUAACCAAACAAGAAUGUCACUUUCACAAAAAUGAAGAAUUCGACUUAAGAUUGUUGGAAGAAUUUUGUGAAUAGAGACGCCAAAAAUAAGUAUAAAGAUAGGGACAAAGCCGAGGCAAGAGUUGGACUCUUUGUCCUUAAGUCGAAUUUGCCCCGCAACGGUGCCUAC
Molecule: long non-coding RNA, 570 nt
Filed under: Olea europaea (common olive)
Lineage: Eukaryota; Viridiplantae; Streptophyta; Magnoliopsida; Lamiales; Oleaceae
Description: long non-coding RNA (OEUR_LNC005833)
Source: RNAcentral